Molecule: non-coding RNA, 402 nt
Organism: Pelobates cultripes (western spadefoot toad)
Lineage: Eukaryota; Metazoa; Chordata; Amphibia; Anura; Pelobatidae
Source: the annotation of a GenBank genome assembly
UGCAGAGUGUUCUGUGCUGUUUUUAGAUCUCAUCUCCAAAGGCACCUGGUGGUAUCCCUGUUUGCCUCUGUCUGCUGCCUGCGUUUCUGGUCCCAGUCUUCGGGGUGAAAUGGGGGACAGGAGAAAAUCCUCACAACACCUAGAUGUGUUUGAACUGCCCAUGUGCAAUAUUUUGACAAUAUUCAAGUCUCCCUGUGACUCUUCAGAUGAAAAUGAGCUACUAGAACUUGGCUGAGUAAAGUGUGCUGUACAAGUAUAUGCAAUGCCACAUCUAUCUUUUGCUGCCUUGCAACAAUUUACCUAAUACAAUGUUUUAUUAAUAUAUUUCACAUUGUAUGAUUCCAAUGUAGGCCUCUAUGUAAUAUUUUUUUGAUAAAGUGAUGUAAUAUUUUUAGAUAAACG